RNAcentral lists this ribosomal RNA (465 nucleotides) under Vreelandella stevensii. RNAcentral's name for it is "partial 16S ribosomal RNA". It matches the Rfam family "Bacterial small subunit ribosomal RNA", at positions 338 to 795 of the family's 1533-position model. Lineage: Bacteria; Pseudomonadati; Pseudomonadota; Gammaproteobacteria; Oceanospirillales; Halomonadaceae. The record is from RNAcentral.
CCUACGGGCGGCUGCAGUGGGGAAUAUUGGACAAUGGGGGGAACCCUGAUCCAGCCAUGCCGCGUGUGUGAAGAAGGCCCUCGGGUUGUAAAGCACUUUCAGUGAGGAAGAACGCCUGGUGGUUAAUACCCAUCAGGAAAGACAUCACUCACAGAAGAAGCACCGGCUAACUCCGUGCCAGCAGCCGCGGUAAUACGGAGGGUGCGAGCGUUAAUCGGAAUUACUGGGCGUAAAGCGCGCGUAGGUGGCUUGAUAAGCCGGUUGUGAAAGCCCCGGGCUCAACCUGGGAACGGCAUCCGGAACUGUCAAGCUGGAGUGCAGGAGAGGAAGGUAGAAUUCCCGGUGUAGCGGUGAAAUGCGUAGAGAUCGGGAGGAAUACCAGUGGCGAAGGCGGCCUUCUGGACUGACACUGACACUGAGGUGCGAAAGCGUGGGUAGCAAACAGGAUUAGAUACCCCUGUAGUC